ACGUACACUCCUGCGGGAGGCAGCAGUGGGGAAUAUUGGACAAUGGGCGCAAGCCUGAUCCAGCCAUGCCGCGUGAGUGAUGAAGGCCCUAGGGUUGUAAAGCUCUUUCACCGGUGAAGAUAAUGACGGUAACCGGAGAAGAAGCCCCGGCUAACUUCGUGCCAGCAGCCGCGGUAAUACGAAGGGGGCUAGCGUUGUUCGGAUUUACUGGGCGUAAAGCGCACGUAGGCGGACUAUUAAGUCAGGGGUGAAAUCCCGGGGCUCAACCCCGGAACUGCCUUUGAUACUGGUAGUCUUGAGUUCGAGAGAGGUGAGUGGAAUUCCGAGUGUAGAGGUGAAAUUCGUAGAUAUUCGGAGGAACACCAGUGGCGAAGGCGGCUCACUGGCUCGAUACUGACGCUGAGGUGCGAAAGCGUGGGGAGCAAACAGGAUUAGAUACCCGAGUAGUCCCAUGA
This 455-nucleotide ribosomal RNA is filed under the name uncultured organism. RNAcentral's name for it is "partial 16S ribosomal RNA". It matches the Rfam family "Bacterial small subunit ribosomal RNA", at positions 329 to 800 of the family's 1533-position model. The record is from RNAcentral.